AUUGUCUUCAGUGGCCAAAGGGCAGUGGCGAAUUGUCUGCGGCGAAUCUGCUGUGGCGAAUGGUCCCAUCCCGCUCAGCCCAUUGGCCCACCUGGUCAAGAUCCUGUUGUAAUCUGAGGUGUUGGCUCAUAGCAAUCACAAAUGAAUCAAAUCUGCUGUUACAAAGUUGUUGAGAAUUUAAGAAAACGAACAGAUAUGGACAGAACACUGCAAAAGCACCCAAGUGGAGCAUUUUCCUGAAACUGAUCUAAUAUUUCAUUAAAAUUGCCCUUUGAAUAAUUGUGCAUUUGUGUUUGAGUAAGCAAAUAUUUCCUGUUAUUUGCUAAUAAAAGGUUAAUUAGUUCCUGUUUUUCCCCCAAGAGCCUACGGUUUGCUUACGAUUGUGAUUUUUCACUAUUUGCUUCAUAAAUUCUAUAUGCUUUCAAUUUUACUGUACCCAAGUGAUGGUCACUGCACUGCUUGCAAUGAAAGAGCUUUUAAUUGGGCAAAAUUAAAUCAGAAUCUGCUAUACAAAAAUAAAUCAUACAAUUGCCCAGUCUUUUGACUAAAAUUAAGGUGAGAUUGUGUUGGGACGCAGUCUGAACCAUACUGUGAAGUUCCAACAAGCAAGCAAAAUUGGACAGUAAAAUAUUAAUAUGCCAUAUUAAAUAUAUUCCUGCAAAUACAUGUUGUAGACUGACCAUGCUGUGUGAGCAAGUGAAAUUUAAAAAGUUGAAAUCUGCUGCUUUCUACAGGAUUUUACUGAAGUUCCUUGUAUUACACACUCAAGUGAAGAUUCAGUGUGAUGCUGAUAAAAUUUAGUAAAUUACCUGAUUUUAACUGUAUAACUAUAAUUCUGCUGGUACCUAUGACUUGAUGUUAUAAUAGAGAUUAAUUGUUGAAUAUUCCAGAAAUAUCCAAAACUGGUAUGAUUAAUAAGUUAAGCACUUCAAUAGUAUUCUUUUAUUCAGUGAAUAUUAAUUUGAUAACAUUAAUUUUAGCAGGAAUAUUAAUUUGAUAACAUACUGAGGUAGCCAUGAUAUGGAGGUGCCAGUGUUGGACUGGGGUGGACAAAGUUAAAAAUCACACAACACCAGGUUAUAAUCCAACUGAGGUAGAACACUGUCUAUUGAGUCCAUGCUCAGAAUCUUGGCUGGGAGGACAAUCUUGAUAUUCUCCAGCAGCUGUCCAGAUUAUUCUGAAAUGCUUGUUUGAAGAGCUGAUGCAGGCCUCCUCCUGUACCUAACAAUUCUAUAAUGUGUUUGGAUAGUCUUGACUCAAUUGUCAUUGAGCU
Non-coding RNA from Chiloscyllium plagiosum (whitespotted bambooshark), 1273 nucleotides. Lineage: Eukaryota; Metazoa; Chordata; Chondrichthyes; Orectolobiformes; Hemiscylliidae. The record is from RefSeq and is a predicted model, not a curated record.